This 809-nucleotide ribosomal RNA is filed under the name Staphylococcus sp. ccc_5. Its description in RNAcentral is "bacterial SSU rRNA". It matches the Rfam family "Bacterial small subunit ribosomal RNA", at positions 662 to 1469 of the family's 1533-position model. Lineage: Bacteria; Bacillati; Bacillota; Bacilli; Caryophanales; Staphylococcaceae. The record is from RNAcentral.
GGGAAUUCCAUGUGUAGCGGUGAAAUGCGCAGAGAUAUGGAGGAACACCAGUGGCGAAGNCGACUUUNUGGUCUGUAACUGACGCUGAUGUGCGAAAGCGUGGGGAUCAAACAGGAUUAGAUACCCUGGUAGUCCACGCCGUAAACGAUGAGUGCUAAGUGUUAGGGGGUUUCCGCCCCUUAGUGCUGCAGCUAACGCAUUAAGCACUCCGCCUGGGGAGUACGACCGCAAGGUUGAAACUCAAAGGAAUUGACCGGGGACCCGCACAAGCGGUGGAGCAUGUGGUUUAAUUCGAAGCAACGCGAAGAACCUUACCAAAUCUUGACAUCCUCUGACCCCUCUAGAGAUAGAGUUUUCCCCUUCGGGGGACAGAGUGACAGGUGGUGCAUGGUUGUCGUCAGCUCGUGUCGUGAGAUGUUGGGUUAAGUCCCGCAACGAGCGCAACCCUUAAGCUUAGUUGCCAUCAUUAAGUUGGGCACUCUAAGUUGACUGCCGGUGACAAACCGGAGGAAGGUGGGGAUGACGUCAAAUCAUCAUGCCCCUUAUGAUUUGGGCUACACACGUGCUACAAUGGACAAUACAAAGGGUAGCGAAACCGCGAGGUCAAGCAAAUCCCAUAAAGUUGUUCUCAGUUCGGAUUGUAGUCUGCAACUCGACUAUAUGAAGCUGGAAUCGCUAGUAAUCGUAGAUCAGCAUGCUACGGUGAAUACGUUCCCGGGUCUUGUACACACCGCCCGUCACACCACGAGAGUUUGUAACACCCGAAGCCGGUGGAGUAACCAUGUGGAGCUAGCCGUCUAAUGUGGACA